RNAcentral lists this ribosomal RNA (429 nucleotides) under Gemmatimonadota bacterium. Its description in RNAcentral is "Gemmatimonadetes bacterium partial 16S ribosomal RNA". It matches the Rfam family "Bacterial small subunit ribosomal RNA", at positions 355 to 776 of the family's 1533-position model. Lineage: Bacteria; Pseudomonadati; Gemmatimonadota. The record is from RNAcentral.
UAGGGAAUCUUCGGCAAUGGACGAAAGUCUGACCGAGCAACGCCGCGUGUGUGAAGAAGGUUUUUGGAUCGUAAAACUCUGUUGUUAGAGAAGAACAAGGACGUUAGUAACUGAACGUCCCCUGACGGUAUCUAACCAGAAAGCCACGGCUAACUACGUGCCAGCAGCCGCGGUAAUACGUAGGUGGCAAGCGUUGUCCGGAUUUAUUGGGCGUAAAGCGAGCGCAGGCGGUUUCUUAAGUCUGAUGUGAAAGCCCCCGGCUCAACCGGGGAGGGUCAUUGGAAACUGGGAGACUUGAGUGCAGAAGAGGAGAGUGGAAUUCCAUGUGUAGCGGUGAAAUGCGUAGAUAUAUGGAGGAACACCAGUGGCGAGGGCGGCUCUCUGGUCUGUAACUGACGCUGAGGCUCGAGAGCGUGGGGAGCAAACAGG